Molecule: ribosomal RNA, 664 nt
Filed under: Tremellales sp. CCFEE 5612
Lineage: Eukaryota; Fungi; Basidiomycota; Tremellomycetes; Tremellales
Description: LSU rRNA
Rfam family: Eukaryotic large subunit ribosomal RNA
Source: RNAcentral
AUCAAUAAGCGGAGGAAAAGAAACUAACAAGGAUUCCCCUAGUAACGGCGAGUGAAGCGGGAAGAGCUCAAAUUUGAAAUCUGGCGUACUCCGUGCGUCCGAGUUGUAAUCUAUAGAAGCGUUUUCUGUGCCGGUCCGUGUCCAAGUCCCUUGGAACAGGGUAUCAAAGAGGGUGACAAUCCCGUGCUUGACAUGACCGCCGGUGCUCUGUGAUACGUUUUCUACGAGUCGAGUUGUUUGGGAAUGCAGCUCAAAAUGGGUGGUAAAUUCCAUCUAAAGCUAAAUAUAGGCGAGAGACCGAUAGCGAACAAGUACCGUGAGGGAAAGAUGAAAAGCACUUUGGAAAGAGAGUUAAACAGUACGUGAAAUUGUUGAAAGGGAAACGAUUGGAGUCAGUCGUGUUUGGGUGGUUCAGCUGGUUCUGCCAGUGUAUUCCACCUAAACGGGUCAACAUCAGUUUGGACCGAUGGAAAAAGGCACUAGGAAGGUGGCACCUCCGGGUGUGUUAUAGCCUAGCGUCGCAUACAUCGGUCCGGACUGAGGUCUGCAGCUCGCCUUUUGGCCGGCCUUCGGGCACGUUCGAGCUUAGGAUGUUGACAUAAUGGCUCUAAACGACCCGUCUUGAAACACGGACCAAGGAGUCUAACAUAUCUGCGAGUGUUUG